AAAUCUGCAAUGACAAGGAAUAGUAAGCAGGGGAGAGCUUCAGAGAGCUGCCGGUUGGUGAAAGGCAGCAGCUUAUAACUGCCGAACUGACCUUAGAGCACCGGCAGGGAAACGUCAUUAUAUAAAGACGGAGUAGUUGGCGGCGGGUAUUCCCGUUAUAGAAUAUCGAGGGCAAGGCAGAUAGCUGCCUUGAAAUAGAGUGGUACCGCGAAGUCUUUUCGUCUCUAUA
Molecule: regulatory RNA element, 229 nt
Organism: Clostridiales bacterium KLE1615
Lineage: Bacteria; Bacillati; Bacillota; Clostridia; Eubacteriales
Rfam family: T-box leader
About the family: Uncharged tRNA acts as the effector for transcription antitermination of genes in the T-box leader family. T-boxes are found upstream of many aminoacyl-tRNA synthetase genes and some amino acid biosynthetic genes usually in Gram-positive bacteria.
Source: Rfam